RNAcentral lists this microRNA precursor (58 nucleotides) under Alligator mississippiensis (American alligator). RNAcentral describes it as "Ami-Mir-204-P1_pre stem-loop". It matches the Rfam family "mir-204 microRNA precursor family", at positions 16 to 74 of the family's 89-position model. Lineage: Eukaryota; Metazoa; Chordata; Crocodylia; Alligatoridae. The record is from RNAcentral.
UUCCCUUUGUCAUCCUAUGCCUGGAGAUCAUAGUGAGGCAGGGACAACAAAGGGAUGC